GAUGAACGCUGGCGGCGUGCCUAAUACAUGCAAGUCGAGCGAACGGACGAGAAGCUUGCUUCUCUGAUGUUAGCGGCGGACGGGUGAGUAACACGUGGAUGACCUACCUAUAAGACUGGGAUAACUUCGGGAAACCGGAGCUAAUACCGGAUAAUAUUUUGAACCGCAUGGUUCAAAAGUGAAAGACGGUCUUGCUGUCACUUAUAGAUGGAUCCGCGCUGCAUUAGCUAGUUGGUAAGGUAACGGCUUACCAAGGCAACGAUGCAUAGCCGACCUGAGAGGGUGAUCGGCCACACUGGAACUGAGACACGGUCCAGACUCCUACGGGAGGCAGCAGUAGGGAAUCUUCCGCAAUGGGCGAAAGCCUGACGGAGCAACGCCGCGUGAGUGAUGAAGGUCUUCGGAUCGUAAAACUCUGUUAUUAGGGAAGAACAUAUGUGUAAGUAACUGUGCACAUCUUGACGGUACCUAAUCAGAAAGCCACGGCUAACUACGUGCCAGCAGCCGCGGUAAUACGUAGGUGGCAAGCGUUAUCCGGAAUUAUUGGGCGUAAAGCGCGCGUAGGCGGUUUUUUAAGUCUGAUGUGAAAGCCCACGGCGUCAACCGUGGAGGGUCAUUGGAAACUGGAAAACUUGAGUGCAGAAGAGGAAAGUGGAAUUCCAUGUGUAGCGGUGAAAUGCGCAGAGAUAUGGAGGAACACCAGUGGCGAAGGCGACUUUCUGGUCUGUAACUGACGCUGAUGUGCGAAAGCGUGGGGAUCAAACAGGAUUAGAUACCCUGGUAGUCCACGCCGUAAACGAUGAGUGCUAAGUGUUAGGGGGUUUCCGCCCCUUAGUGCUGCAGCUAACGCAUUAAGCACUCCGCCUGGGGAGUACGACCGCAAGGUUGAAACUCAAAGGAAUUGACGGGGACCCGCACAAGCGGUGGAGCAUGUGGUUUAAUUCGAAGCAACGCGAAGAACCUUACCAAAUCUUGACAUCCUUUGACAACUCUAGAGAUAGAGCCUUCCCCUUCGGGGGGCAAAGUGACAGGUGGUGCAUGGUUGUCGUCAGCUCGUGUCGUGAGAUGUUGGGUUAAGUCCCGCAACGAGCGCAACCCUUAAGCUUAGUUGCCAUCAUUAAGUUGGGCACUCUAAGUUGACUGCCGGUGACAAACCGGAGGAAGGUGGGGAUGACGUCAAAUCAUCAUGCCCCUUAUGAUUUGGGCUACACACGUGCUACAAUGGACAAUACAAAGGGCAGCGAAACCGCGAGGUCAAGCAAAUCCCAUAAAGUUGUUCUCAGUUCGGAUUGUAGUCUGCAACUCGACUACAUGAAGCUGGAAUCGCUAGUAAUCGUAGAUCAGCAUGCUACGGUGAAUACGUUCCCGGGUCU
This 1373-nucleotide ribosomal RNA is filed under the name uncultured bacterium. RNAcentral describes it as "bacterial SSU rRNA". It matches the Rfam family "Bacterial small subunit ribosomal RNA", at positions 28 to 1381 of the family's 1533-position model. The record is from RNAcentral.